ACGAACGCUGGCGGCGUGCUUAACACAUGCCAGUCGAACGGAAAGGCCCUGCUUUUGUGGGGUGCUCGAGUGGCGAACGGGUGAGUAACACGUGAGUAACCUGCCCUUGACUUUGGGAUAACUUCAGGAAACUGGGGCUAAUACCGGAUAGGAGCUCCUGCUGCAUGGUGGGGGUUGGAAAGUUUCGGCGGUUGGGGAUGGACUCGCGGCUUAUCAGCUUGUUGGUGGGGUAGUGGCUUACCAAGGCUUUGACGGGUAGCCGGCCUGAGAGGGUGACCGGCCACAUUGGGACUGAGAUACGGCCCAGACUCCUACGGGAGGCAGCAGUGGGGAAUAUUGCACAAUGGGCGGAAGCCUGAUGCAGCAACGCCGCGUGCGGGAUGACGGCCUUCGGGUGGUAAACCGCUUUCGCCUGUGACGAAGCGUGAGUGACGGUAAUGGGUAAAGAAGCACCGGCUAACUACGG
RNAcentral lists this ribosomal RNA (466 nucleotides) under uncultured bacterium. RNAcentral describes it as "partial 16S ribosomal RNA". It matches the Rfam family "Bacterial small subunit ribosomal RNA", at positions 29 to 506 of the family's 1533-position model. The record is from RNAcentral.